CACAGUUAGGGUGAGAACUUGGUGGAGGCUAAGCUGAGAACCACCUGGGCCUACCUUCCCUGCCCUAUUGAAGUCUUCAAGAAGAAAGAAAACAACUUGAAGGGGAGCAGCUGAUAAUUACAACUUUUAAAUUUGAUCAGCCAAUGGUAGCUCACAAAGGAUAAGAAGAUGUCACCACCUGCUUCUGUGAGUGAGCCUGUCAAGUUGCUAGCUUAAGAAGUAAAAAUAUAUGUAUCUUACUAAAGUCCCAUAUUGGUAUUUUAUUAUGUCCUUGGCUUCAAAUACCCAUGCACUCAUUUAUUUGCACAGCCAACAUAUAUUUACAAAGCUUGCUAAGUGCUGGGUACCACUCUGGGAACACGUGAGCAAAUCACUAAGUCCCUGCCUCCUGGACUGCGUGCUCUGGGGACAACAGGGAGCAAGGGAGCUGUGAAACACAUCAGCCUGAAGCCUGGGAAAGUGACCUGGGGUGCAGGGGAGAAGGGCAGGAGAGGUAAUAGUUUCAAACAGCAUAUUCAGGGAAUGACCUGCUGACCACAGUAUGCCAGUCAUGACCUUAAGGAGCCAGAUGAUAAGCCCUGUGUUCCCAGGGAAAGAGUGCUCAGGCAGAGGGUGAGAGACAGGGGGAGCAUGCCUGAUGUCAGGACCACUGUGACGCAAGGCAGCCAGAGUGAUGGGGGAGGUGCUUGGGGGCACCCCCAGGAGAGGGGACCCAGGUGGAAAUGGGCUUUGAGGGCCUGACAAGCUCCUUGGCUUUCCCCCUGAAUGUACUGGCGAGACUUGGAGAGUUUUGAGCAAUGGAAUGACUGAUGUGCUUCAGUCCCUCCUGGGAUCUGUCAGUCAUUGAAAAUUGAUGGCAAGCCAGUGCAUAGGUCUCAACAGAGGUGCUGGGCUGUGCUGGGGGGAGCAGGUGGGCGUGAGGGGUGGCUGCCAAUGGGGACACUGUGAUUUAUUUGAGACCUUGCCAACCCUCCUACACAUUGGUCAGUAGAAUUGUUGUGUAGUAGCGGGGUAGCUGCAGCCUCAGAGAGGGUCUAACCCCCUGCUAAAGGUCAGGCUUUUUUAAAAAUAAAGAAUAAUUAUUAAGCAGAUGGUUUGCUUAUGAUCCAUCUUUAUAGCUGGCACCUCCACCCAGUGGUGUGAUCAUAAGAUUCCCCUUUCCCGUGGUGCCUGUCACUGUGGGGGUGGGGGUUGCCUCUGGUUUCAGGACAACUCUGCAUUUUCUGCUCUAGUGAUUACAUGAUCUGUGGUGUCUAGCAGGCUUGGGGGUGUCUAUUUUUUGCCCCAUGAUGUGAACGUUACACAUUAAUUCUUCUGAAUUCUUUUCUCUACAGGUCUUUGUACUUGUAAAUCAUAAUCAGCAUCCCAGAACUUUCCAGAAAAAGUGUUCUUCUCAGAUGGAGCUGGUCAGACCACCGAAUAUGGGCAUCUGAGGUGGCUGAGAAUUCACCCUCGGAAACAUGAGAGAAUCUGGGUUCAGCCCUCGUGGUGACAAGCCACCGCCCCACUAUCUUGGAGAAUGGAUUUUUUUCCUUCUGUGUAUGAGAGGAGGUUGAUGGAUUGUGUCUGUUGCAGAGGCCCAAGGAGAGAAAGGUGACUCGAGUCCCAAAAUAGCCCUUUUGAAUGCAUUAAGAGAGGGCCUCUCUGACACAGACAGGAAGCAGGGGAGAGGGGCAGGAACUGGUGACAGCCCACUCAGCGUGUUGGUCACCAGCAUUGAUUCACACUAAGUGAUCGUCCUCUGCUAAGAGCGACGCUGUCCUUUGCUUUUAUUUUAAAUUAUAAAACCUUUUAAAACUACACCAUUACCUGACGGUGAAAUUGAUUGUCCACCUUCUGUAUUUUAACAAUGAGCUUCUUGAGAGAUUCCUAUCCUCUCUCCAUCACCUCACUCCUGGUUGGGAUUUGGUGGGUCUUACAUUUGGCUCUGUUUGACCGUGUGGUGGCUGUACACUGAUUUCCCCAUGAAAAUAAGAACAUCAGUAUUGAAGUGAGACAAGGAAAAAGUUUCUUUUACAUUUGCUUUCAAUAGACAAAAUCUGAAAGAAACUCUAAUGGAAGAAACCAUCCCAUUCAUGACCUGUGCAUUACGCAGCUCACAUUAAACUCAGUCAGAGGUGUUCAGAAAGUGUAUUAAAAACUCUAUCACGGGGAGGGACGGGAGUGGGAAGAAAGACUGUCAUGAUAGCAUCAAGAUGCGAGUUGUCCCUGAAUUAACCUGCAAAUUUGGAGCAAUCUCAAUGAAUAGCUCACUGGGUUUCUUUUGUUUUCUUUGUGUAUCAUUGAUUUUGGAACAUGUCAACGAUAGGGAGGAAAAGUAGGAAGAGACUAUUGAGGGAGUCUCGAUAUGUUAAAGUGUAUUAUAAAAUGAUCCUAAUGAAACGCGUGAGCGUUGGCACAGAUGGCAAAGAUUAGAGCCACAGAGUAGAAUUGGGUCUAGAAAUAGACCUCACUCUAUGUGGAGAUUUUGUGUGAUAAAGUCAUCAGCUAAA
RNAcentral lists this long non-coding RNA (2492 nucleotides) under Marmota monax (woodchuck). The record is from RNAcentral. Lineage: Eukaryota; Metazoa; Chordata; Mammalia; Rodentia; Sciuridae.